UACGUAGGGUGCGAGCGUUAAUCGGAAUUACUGGGCGUAAAGAGCGCGCAGGCGGUCGUUCAAGUCGCGUGUGAAAGCCCCCGGCUCAACUGGGGAGGGUCACGCGAUACUGAUCGACUCGAAGGCAGGAGAGGGUAGUGGAAUUCCCGGUGUAGUGGUGAAAUGCGUAGAUAUCGGGAGGAACACCAGUGGCGAAGGCGACUACCUGGCCUGUUUCUUGACGCUGAGGCGCGAAAGCUAGGGGAGCAAACGGG
RNAcentral lists this ribosomal RNA (254 nucleotides) under uncultured bacterium. RNAcentral describes it as "partial 16S ribosomal RNA". It matches the Rfam family "Bacterial small subunit ribosomal RNA", at positions 524 to 776 of the family's 1533-position model. The record is from RNAcentral.